AAGUUGCAGACUGUGCUCAGCAAGACCUCACAACAUGGAGGAAAAUUAAAGAGAUAAAUGGUCCAUGGAGUAUUCCCUUACCCCACUAUAAAUUGACAUCAUUUUGUGCACAAUCCAGGGAGAAGAGAAAGAAGACCAGAAGCUCGCAAACCAUCCGAGAGAAGGAAGGGAGCUUUGUCAUGUUGCCAUCUGAGAUUAUGCCUCCAAAUCCUAUGGAAGUAUAACAACCAUAGAACAGACAACACCAACAGCAUCAACAACAGAGAAACUCAGUCCAGAAGGAUAUGAAACCCUUUGUAGUAAAGCAAGCAACAGCCGUGAA
This 322-nucleotide long non-coding RNA is filed under the name Pongo abelii (Sumatran orangutan). RNAcentral's name for it is "lincRNA". Lineage: Eukaryota; Metazoa; Chordata; Mammalia; Primates; Hominidae. The record is from RNAcentral.